RNAcentral lists this non-coding RNA (26 nucleotides) under Gossypium hirsutum (cotton). The record is from RNAcentral. Lineage: Eukaryota; Viridiplantae; Streptophyta; Magnoliopsida; Malvales; Malvaceae.
GUAGGAUCCCUGAGGGCUUGUGAUGC